AAAAUGUUUAAAUUCACUUGAAACUAGGCGUAUGCAAAUUAAAACCACUCAGAUACCAUUUAUCACUUUCCAGACUCCAUGAAAUGUAAAAAUAUGGCAAUACAUUCUGUUGGGAAGGCUGUGGGAAAAUAGGUACAUUCAUACAUUGCUGAUGGGAAUGCAAAAGUUUAUUAGUUGCAAUAUUGUUCUUAGUUGCAAAGUAUUGGAAGCAACCUAAAUUCCCAUCCACAGGAGAGUGAUUUAAUAAACUAUAGCAUGUCAUGCAGUGGAAUAUUAAAUAGGUAUAAGAAAAGAAUGAGGAAGAGCUCUAUGAACUAAUAUGGAGUGAUUUCCAAGAUGGACUGUCAAAUGAAAAAAGCAAAGCACAAAAGAGUAUCCAUAGCAUGCUACCUUCAUGUAGGAAAGAAAGGAUAUAGAAAGUAAAUAGUUAUCUGCUCAUUUGUUCAAAAGAAAUACAGGAAAGAUAAAAUACUAGUAAGGCUGAUUACCUAGAGGGAAAGGAAUAAAGAAGGAAAUGAGGUUAGCAAGGAUGAAGUACAGUAACAUUUCUUUGAUUAUAUCUUUCUGUGUAGCUCUGACUCUUGGAAUCAUAAUUAUGUCUCACAUACCCUUCACAUAAUCCCAAAUAAAUAAAUGAUAAAACCAACCAAGAAGUGUGGGAAACCCUAAAUGGAAUACAAAUACUAACAAAUGAAAGUAAAUGUAUUAAGAAUGAAUAACAACCACAGUUAAGCAAGUGAGGAAGAAAAUAACUAGGUAACUCUAAGUAUCUUUUCUGGGCAAUAAAAGGCUAAUGACAAAAAGAAUGGUACUAAAGUGCUGUAAUCUAGUUAGUAAAAGGGUUUCUUGCAGGGGUAUGAAUUAGUGCUACUGAAGCUACCUUUACAUGUACAUUAGAAUUGAACAACUAAGUACAUAUAUUGUAGAUAAUAAGAGCCAGGUUUCUCACUGUUGGAGAAAGACUUAUUAAAAGAAAGGAGGUAGGCCAAAAUACACCCUGUAAUGUUGGAUUGGAGUAAGAGGUGUCAGUAUAAAUUAAUGGUUCUUAAUAUAAAUGUAGACAGAUUAAGAAAUAUACAUGUGACUAUAUCUGUGGCAUAGUAUAUACAUUUAUACAUUUCCUAACUCUUAAAGGGCCUAGAAGCAGUGAAACUUCAGAGUAAUGAGCACAUUUAACACCAGAUCUUGUUUUUUAUCUUCUUUUUUUACUUUAAACUUUUUAUUUUUAAUUUUUGUGAGUACAUAGUAGGUGUAUAUAUUCAUGGAAUACAUGAGAUAUUUUAAUAUAGGCAUGUAAUGAGAAAUAAUCACAUCAUGAAGAAUAGGGUACCCACCUUUUCAAACAUUUAUCCUUUGUGUUACAAGAAAUCCAGUUACACUCUUCUAGUUAUUUUAAAAUGUUCAAUCAACUUAUUGUUGACUAGAGUCAUGCUAUUGUGCUAUCAAAUAGUAGGUCUUAUUCAUUCUUUCUAUUUUUAUGUAUCCAUUAACAAUCCCUACCUCCCCCUCCAGUGCCCAAGUACCCUUCCCAGCCUCUGAUAACUAUCCUACUAUCUCCAUGAGUUCAAUUGUUUUGAUUUUUAGAUCUCAUAAAUAAGUGAGAACAUGCAAUGUUUGUCUUUCUGUGUCUGGCUUAUUUCACUUAACAUAAUAACCUCCAGUUCCAUCCAUGUUGUUGCAAAUGACAGGGUGUCAUUCUUUUAAUUACUGAAUAGUACUCCAUUGUGUAAAUGCACUACAUUUUAUUUAUCCAUUCAUUUGUUGAUAGACACUUAGGUUGCUUCCAAAUCUUGCCUAUUGUGAACAUUGUGGCAACAAACAUGGAAGUUCAGAUAUCUCUUCAAUAUACUGAUUUCUUUUUUUGGAGGGUACAUACCCAGCAGUGGGAUUUCUGGAUAUAUGGUAGCUCUAUUUUUAUUUUUUUCAGGAACCUCCAAACUGUUCUCAAUAGUAGUUGUGCUAAUGUACAUUCCCACCAACAGUGUAGGAGAGUUCCCUUUCUCCACAUCCUAGCCAGCAUUUGUUAUUGCCUGUCUUUUGGAUAAAAACCAUUUUAACUGGGGAGAAAUGAUAUCUCAUUGUAGUUUUGACUUUCAUUCUCUGAUGAUCAGUGAUGUUGAACACAUUUUCAUAUGCCUGCUUGCUAUUUGUAUGUCUUCUUUUGAGAAAUGUGUAUUCAAAUCUUUUGCUCAUUUUUUGAUCAGAUUUUUUUUUCCUGUUGAGUUGUUAGAGCUCCUUACGUAUUCUGGUUUUUAAUCCCUUGUCAGAUGGGUAGUUUGCAAAUAUUUUGUCCCAUUCUGGAGGUUGUCUCUUCACUUUGUUGAUUGUUUCCUUUGCUGUGCAGAAGCUUCUUAACUUGAUGUGAUCCCAUUUGUCCGUUUUUGCUUUGGUUGUCUGUGUUUGUGGGGUACUACUCAAGAAAUUUUUGCUCAGACAAAUGUCCUGGAGAUUUUCAUCAAUGUUUUCUUAUAGUAGUUUCAUAGUUUGAGGUCUUAGAUUUAAUCCUUUAGUCUACUUUGUAUAUGACUUUUGUAUAUGGCGAGAAAUAGGAGUCUAGUUUCAUUCUUCUGCAUGUGGAUAUCUAGUUUCCCAGAACUAUUUACUGAAGAGAAUGUCUUUUCCCCAGUAUAUUUUCUUGGCACCUUUGUCAAAAAUGAGUUCACUGUAAAUGUGUGGAUUCGUUUCCAGGUUCUCUGUUCUGUUCCAUGGGUCUGUCUGGUUUUAUGCCAAUGCCAUGCUGUUUUGGUUAUUAUAGUUCUGUGGCAUAAUUUAAAGUCAGGUAAUAUGAUUCCUCCAGUUUUGUUCUUUUUGCUUAAGAUAGCUUUGGCUCUUCUUGGUCUUUUGUGGUUCCAUAUAAGUUUUUGGAUAGUUUUUUUUUCUAUUUCUGUGAUGAAUGUCAUUGGUACUUUGAUAGGGAUUGCAUUGAAUCUAUAGAUUGCUUUAGGUAGUUUGGACUUUUUUUUUUUUUUUUUUUUUGAGACGGAGUCUCGCUGUGUCUCCCAGGUUGGAGUGCAGUGGCGCGAUCUCGGCUCACUGCAAGCUCCGCCUCCCAGGUUCAUGCCAUUCUCCUGCCUCAGCCUCCCAAGUAGCUGGGACUACAGGCGCCCGCCAACACGCCCGGCUAAUUUUUUGUAUUUUUAGUAGAAAUGGGGUUUCACCGUGUUAGCCAAGAUGGUCUCGAUCUCCUGACCUUGUGAUCCGCCCGUCUCGGCCUCCCAAAGUGCUAGGAUUACAGGCGUGAGCCAGGACAUUUUUAACUAUAUUGAUUCUUUUGCUCCAUGAACGUGGAAUUUUUAUUUUGGUGUUCUCUUCAAUUUCUUUCAUCAGUGUUUUAUAGUUUUUAUUAUAGAGGUCUUUCACUUCUUUGAUUAAUUCCUAGAUAUUAAUUUUAUUUGUAGCUAUCGUAAAUGGGAUUACUUUUUUCAUAUUGUUCACUGUUUGCCUAUAGAAAUGCUACUGAUGUUGAUUUUUUAUGUUGUUUUUGUAUCCUGGAACUUUACUGAUUUUUUAAAUUAGUUCUAAUAGUUUUUUGGUGGAGUCUUUAAGCUUUUUGACUAUAAGAUCAUAUCAUCUGCAAACAAAAAUAAUUUGACCUCUUCCUGUCCAAUCUGGAUGCCCUUUAUUUCUUUCUCUUGGCUGACUUCUCUAGCUAGAACUUCCAGUACUAUGCUGAAUAACAGUGGUGAAAGUGGGCAUCCUUAUUGUGUUCCAGAUCUUAGAGGAAAGGCUUUCAGUUAUUCCCCAUUCAGUAUGAUACUAGCUAUGGGACCAUCAUAUAUGGCUUUUUUAAAUGUUGAAGUGUGUUCCUUCUAUCCCAAGUUCUUUGAGGGUUUUUGUCAUGAAAGAUGUUGAAUUUUAUCAAAUACUUUUUCAGUAUCAAUUGAAAUGAUCAUAUCAUUUUUAUCUUUCAUUCUGUUGAUAUGAUGUGUCAUGUUAAUCGAUUUGUGUAUGUUGUACCAUCCUUGCAUCCCAGGGAUAAAUCCCACUUAGUCAUGAUGAAUUAUCUUUCUAAUAUAUUGUUGGAUUUGGCUUGUUAGUAUUUUGAUGAGUAUUUUUGCAUCAAUAUUCAUCAGAGAUAUUGGCCUGUAGUUUUCAUUUUUCAUGUGUCUUUGUCUGGUUUUGGUAUCAGGGAAAUACUGGCCUCAUAGAAUGAGUUUGGAAGUAUUCCUUCCUCCUCAUUUUUUCAGAAUAGUUUGAGUGAGAUUGGUAUUAGUUCUUCUCUCGAUGCUUGAUAGAAUUGAGUAGUGAAGCCAUUGGGUCUUGGGCUUUUCUUUACCGGAAGACUUUUUAUUAUGACUUUGAUCUUACUAUUUUUAUUGGUCUUUUCAGAUUUUGGAUUUCUUCAUAGUUCAAUCUUGGAACAUUAUAUGUGUCUAGGAAUUUGUUCAUGUUCUCAGGUUUUCUAAUUUAUUGGCAUAUAGUUGCUCAUAGUAGCCUCUAAUGAUCCUUUGAAUUUCUGCAGUAUCAGUUGUAAUGCUCCUUUUUCAUUUCUGAUUUUAUUAAUUUGUGUCUCCUUUUUUCUUCUUAGUCUGGCUAAAGGUUUGUAAAUUUUGUUUAACUUUUCAAAAAACCAUUUUGUUUCAUUGAUCUUUUGUAUUUUCUCUAUUUCAAUUUCAUUUAUUUCUGCUCUUUAUUAUUUCUUUUCUUCUACUAAUUUUGGGUGAGGUUUGCUCUUGCUUUUCUAGUUCUUUAAGAUGCAUUGUUAGAUUGUUUAUUUGAAGUUUUCCCCUUUUUGAUGUAGGCACUUAUAGCUAUAAACUUCACUCUUAGUACUGCCUUUGUUGUAUCCUGUAAGUUUUGGUAUGUUGUGUUUCCAUUAUCACUUGUUUCAAGAAAUUUUUCAAUUUCCUUUUUAAUUUCUUCAUCAACCCACUGGUCAUUCUGGAGCAUAUUGUUUAAUUUCCAUGUAUUUGUAUAGUUUUCAAGGUUCUUCUUGUUAUUAAUUUCUAGUUUUAUUCCAUUGUGAUCAGAGAAGAUGCUUGAUAUUAUUUCAAUUUUUUUGAAUGUUUUAAGACUCGUUUUGUUACCUAAAAUAUGGUAUAUCCUUGAGAUUUAUUCAUGUAUUGAGGAGAAGCAUGUGUAUUCUGCAGCCGAGGGAUGAAAUGUUCUAUAAUUAUCUGUAAGUCCAUUUGGUCAAUAGUGCAGAUUAGGUCUGAUGUUUCUUUGUUGAUUUUCUGUCUGAAAGAUAUGUCCAAUGCUGAAUAUUGGGUGUUCAAGUCUCCAGCUAUUAUUGUAUUAGGGUCUAUCCCUCGCCUUAGCUCUAAUAAUAUUUGGUUUAUAUAUCUGGGUGCUCAAGGCAUGCAUAUUUAAAAUUGUUAUAUCCUCUUGCUGAAUUGACCUCUUUAUCAUUAUAGAAUGACCUUCCUUGUCUCUUCUGAUAGUUUUUGUCUUGUAAUAUAUUUUGUAUGAUAUAAGUAUAGCUACUCAUGCUCUUUUUGGGUUUCCAUUGGAAUGGAAUAUCUUUUUCCAUCCCUUUAUUUGUAGUCUAUAUGUGUCUUUAUAGUUGAAUUGUGUUUCUUGUAGGCAACAGAUUAAUGAAUAUUGUUUUUUCAUCCACUCAGCCAUUCUCUUUUAAUUGGAGAGUUUAGUCCAUUUACAUUCAAUGUUAUUAUUGAUAAGUAAGAGCUUACUCUGGCCAUUUUGUUAUUUGUUUUCUGGUCUUCUCCUCCUUCUUUCUUUCCUCCUGUCUUCCUUUAGUGAAGGUAGUUUUUUCUGGUGAUAUGAUUUAGUUUCUUGCUUUUUAUUUUUUGUGUAUUCAUUGUAUGUUUUUUGUUUGAGAUCACCGUGAAGCUUGCAAAUACCAUCUUUUAAACCAUUAUUUCAAUCCGAUAACUACUUAACACUGUGUGUAUAAACAAACAAAGAAGCAAAAACAAAGCUAAUAAAAAGUAUAUGCCUUAACUUCAUCCUUCAACUUUUUAACUUUUUCCUGUUUCUAUGUAUAUCUUAUUGUACUAUGUCAUUAAAAGUUAUUGCUAUUUGUGA
This 5985-nucleotide long non-coding RNA is filed under the name Homo sapiens (human). RNAcentral's name for it is "novel transcript, sense overlapping C1orf103". The record is from RNAcentral. Lineage: Eukaryota; Metazoa; Chordata; Mammalia; Primates; Hominidae.